AGUGAACGCUGGCGGCAUGCUUUACACAUGCAAGUCGAACGGCAGCGCGGGCUUCGGCCGGGCUGCGGGUGGCGAACGGGUGGGUAAUGCAUCGGAACAUGCCCAGUUGUUGGUUAUAGGCGGGCGAAAGCCGGAUUAAUACCGCAUAAGACCAGAGGGUGAAAGCGGGGGAGCGGAAGACCUCGCGCUAUUGGGGGGGCCGAUGUCGGAUUAGCUAGUUGGUGGGGUAAAGGCUUACCAAGGCGACGAUCCGUAGCUGGUCUGAGAGGACGACCAGCCACACUGGGACUGAGACACGGCCCAGACUCCUACGGGAGGCAGCAGUGGGGAAUAUUGGACAAUGGGGGCAACCCUGAUCCAGCCAUGCCGCGUGCGGGAAGAAGGCCUUCGGGUUGUAAACCGCUUUUGUUCGGGAAGAAAUGCUCUGGGCUAAUACCCCGGGGGGAUGACGGUACCGGAAGAAUAAGCACCGGCUAACUACGUG
RNAcentral lists this ribosomal RNA (484 nucleotides) under uncultured bacterium. RNAcentral's name for it is "partial 16S ribosomal RNA". It matches the Rfam family "Bacterial small subunit ribosomal RNA", at positions 30 to 507 of the family's 1533-position model. The record is from RNAcentral.